AAAUUGAAGAGUUUGAUCAUGGCUCAGAUUGAACGCUGGCGGCAGGCCUAACACAUGCAAGUCGAACGGUAACAGGAAACAGCUUGCUGUUUCGCUGACGAGUGGCGGACGGGUGAGUAAUG
RNAcentral lists this ribosomal RNA (122 nucleotides) under Escherichia coli. RNAcentral's name for it is "partial 16S ribosomal RNA". It matches the Rfam family "Bacterial small subunit ribosomal RNA", at positions 1 to 115 of the family's 1533-position model. Lineage: Bacteria; Pseudomonadati; Pseudomonadota; Gammaproteobacteria; Enterobacterales; Enterobacteriaceae. The record is from RNAcentral. RNAcentral also lists the same sequence under 1 other name.